CCCUUAGAUGUUCUGGGCCGCACGCGCGCUACACUGACGGAGUCAACGAGUUGUCCUGCAUCGGAAGGUGUGGGUAAUCUUUUGAAACUUCGUCGUGCUGGGGAUAGAUCUUUGCAAUUUUCGAUCUUGAACGAGGAAUUCCUAGUAAGCGUGAUUCAUCAGAUCGCGUUGAUUACGUCCCUGCCCUUUGUACACACCGCCCGUCGCUACUACCGAUUGAAUGGUUUAGUGAGGCCUCGGGACUGGCGCGCUCGAGUAGCAAUACACCUGCGCGCCGGGAACUUGGUCAAACUUGAUCAUUUAGAGGAAGUAAAAGUCGCANCA
This 324-nucleotide ribosomal RNA is filed under the name uncultured eukaryote. RNAcentral describes it as "partial 18S ribosomal RNA". It matches the Rfam family "Eukaryotic small subunit ribosomal RNA", at positions 1470 to 1796 of the family's 1831-position model. The record is from RNAcentral.